Molecule: small nuclear RNA, 100 nt
Organism: Callithrix jacchus (white-tufted-ear marmoset)
Lineage: Eukaryota; Metazoa; Chordata; Mammalia; Primates; Cebidae
Source: Ensembl
UCGCUUCAGCAGCACAUAUACUAAAAUUGAAACGAUACAGAGAUUAGCAUGGCCCCUGAUCAAGGAUGACACGCAAAUUCGUGAAGCGUUCCAUGUUUAA